This 293-nucleotide ribosomal RNA is filed under the name uncultured bacterium. RNAcentral's name for it is "partial 16S ribosomal RNA". It matches the Rfam family "Bacterial small subunit ribosomal RNA", at positions 775 to 1067 of the family's 1533-position model. The record is from RNAcentral.
GGAUUAGAUACCCUGGUAGUCCACGCCGUAAACGAUGACAACUAGAUGUUGGGAGGAUUUGCCUCUCGGUGUCGCAGUUAACGCGUUAAGUUGUCCGCCUGGGGAGUACGCCGGCAACGGUAAAACUCAAAGGAAUUGACGGGGACCCGCACAAGCGGUGGAGCAUGUGGUUUAAUUCGAUGCAACGCGAAGAACCUUACCUGGCCUUGACAUCCUCAGAACUUGUAAGAGAUUACUUGGUGCCUUCGGGAAUUGAGUGACAGGUGCUGCAUGGCUGUCGUCAGCUCGUGCCG